RNAcentral lists this long non-coding RNA (6253 nucleotides) under Linum usitatissimum (flax). Its description in RNAcentral is "long non-coding RNA (LUSI_LNC004703)". Lineage: Eukaryota; Viridiplantae; Streptophyta; Magnoliopsida; Malpighiales; Linaceae. The record is from RNAcentral.
AGUGUUCAUUGUGUGUGACUGGAUUCGAACCUCCAGAUUUUCAAGUCACUAAUCACAUAACUCUACUAACUAAAUUAUCACACUUGUACGAUUCAUGUUCACACUUUAAACCUGUUUUGACACAGGCACAUUCAAAUCAGUAAUGUACAUAUUCAUGUGCUUGUUUACAAUAGCCCCAUGGCUUCUUUAAUGUUCACCACAAUGUGCUUAGAUAGGACAACACAACCACCAUCAACUUGUUCGAAUGAAAACAAGAGCUACCAAACACACAAGGCUACACAUUUUCACGGAAAACAUGGCUUCUUGCAAUGUUUCCAUUUCUUUAACUAUAAACGUUGGAUUCUCCCAUGUUUCCAACAACAGUUCAAAACAAACUUCCCAGCAGUCUCCAUUGAAGUACCCCACACCCUGGAAGGUAUCCCUGCAAGAACAGCAUUGAAAUUUCACCAACAGAAGAGACCUCUGACCCACUUAUCUUCUGACUAGUGCUUAACACACAUUCACCCAACAGUGUUCUUAAUGUUGGUGGUCUUUGGAUGGCUCAAACGGCAUAUAAGCAAUGGCAAGAUUCAGAGAACAUUACUUUAGUGAAUGCUGAUCCGGCGCCUGAUCCAUUCAUACCACUCUUCGCAGAGAUACUGUACAGAUAACAGUGAAUAGCAAUUGCUGCUUGACUAUCACACUGGAAGCAAUUUUACAAUAGACUAUCGUCUCUCCUUGCAAUCUUCAGAGUCUAUCUUGAUAAUGAGCGGCUGGUUCAGAUCACUGGAAGGAUCCACCACUGUUGGCAACUCUGGCGAGUCCAUAUAUGCAUCUAUGCCAUCAGUUUCGGCCAAAACUUUAUCCAGAGCAGACUUGGCAACUUUUCGUGACCACGAUCAUUAGCCGCACUGCAUAAGCGGAAAAUCCAGGAGAUAAGGACUCGUGAUAGAUCUCAUGUUUCAGAUUUCAAAAUUCAUGCAAUUAGGAUCACAAUGAAGCUAAUUGUAACUUACCGGAUACAAUGAAGCUUAUGCAAUCAUCAUCUGCAUAUUAGAGCCAGCAGUUUGACUCAUUAUCACCAGUACAAGAUUAACCACAGAAGAUCGGAAAGAGAGAUGUAAACAGAUACUGGAGGUUUCAUUACCCAACGAGUUGGUGAAAACACACUCCAACCAUGCGUUACAUCAGAGAGAUCCUUGAGAGUGGUUCCAACAUAGACUAAUGCAAGUAUUAUUGGCUGCGAUUUUAAACUCGUUAGUCCCACAGGAAGCGAAGAUUGAAAACAAGCAUUGACUUUUUAGAACCAAAUAGUGAAACUAGAGCGUUGUUGCUGUUUUUUACUUUUUCAGAGGUAAAAAUGAGCUCAAAACUAGUUAGGUUGAACCAAUUUUUCCAAGGUUGAUAUGUUAGAGUCCAAGUCAUAUGAGGUUAUAUUGAAUUUAUGAGAGGAAGCUUUUCAAUAGUAUUAUGAUAUAUGGGAUUACAUAAGGGGUACAUGGGUUUAUAUAGAGUUAGGAUAGGAGAAUCCUUCCUCAACUAGGAAAACUCUUAUUACUAUUCCUAUACUAAUAAGGAAAAAUAUUGAAACUUAUUCCUAUACUAAUAAGGAAAAUAUAAUAUUUUUCAACACUCCCCCUCAAGCUUGGUGUAGAUGUUAAUUAACCCAAGCUUGGACAGUAAGUGGUCAAACACAUCUUUUGAAAGAGGCUUCGUAAAAACAUCUGCAGUCUGUUGCUUCGUAGGAACAUAUUCCACUCGAACCACACCAGAACUAACAUUUUCAGUUAUAAAAUGACGAUCUACCUCCACAUGUUUAGUUCGAUCAUGAUGAACAGGGUUGCGGACUAUGCUGAUUGCUGCUUGACUAUCACACAGAAACUGGAUAGGACCAUCGAUCUCAAUCUUCAGCUCAUUCAUGAUGCGCUUCAACCAGAUACUCUCACAUAUUCCAAGUGCGAGAGCUCGGUACUCAGCCUCUGCACUGCUUCUAGCCACAACCUUUUGUUUCUUACUUCGCCAUGUCACAAGAUUUCCCCAGACAUAACUACAAUAACCAGUUGUAGACCUUCGAUCUGUGAGUUCACCAGCCCAACUUGCAUCAGUAUAGACAGUAAUUCCCCGUUGAGCAGUUCUCUUGAAAUAGAUUCCCUUUCCAGGUGAACUCUUCAAGUACCUUAGGAUUCUGUAAACCAUUCCCAUAUGUUCUUCAUUAGGACAGUGCAUGUGCUGGCUGACAAUCCCAACUGCAAAAGCUAUAUCGGGUCGAGUGUGAGCUAAAUAAAUCAGUUUCCCAACCAAUCGUUGAUACCGACCUUUUUCAACUGCAGGAAUAUCCUCCUCCCUGCUAAGAGUUUUAUUCGACUCCAUGGGAGUGUCGAUAGGCUUACAGUCAAGCAUUCCCACUUCCUUUAGUAAGUCCAAAACAUAUUUUCGUUGAGAGAUUACGAUACCUUUCUGAGAUCUCGAAACUUCCAUUCCUAGGAAGUAUUUAAGGUUUCCCAAGUCUUUGAGUUCGAACUCUUUUGCCAGUUGAUCCUUGAGUCUCUUAAUUUCUUCUACAUCGUCUCCAGUGAUUAUAAUAUCAUCCACGUACACAAUGAGGAUGGAGAUCUUCCCUGUAGGUGAGUGCUUCACAAAUAAGGUGUGAUCGGUCUGACAUUGGUAGUAUCCUCCUUGCUUCACAGCCUUGGUAAAUCUGUCAAACCAGGCUCGGGGAGAUUGUUUCAACCCGUACAAGGCCUUGCGAAGCUUACAAACUUCCCCUUCUCUCGGAUUUUUCACUCCCGGAGGAAACACCAUAUAGACCUCUUCUUCAAGUUCUCCGUUAAGAAAGGCAUUCUUCACAUCAAGUUGAUGUAACGGCCAGUCCAGGUUUGCUGCCAGAGAAAACAACACCCUUAUACUGUUGAGCUUUGCCACUGGUGCAAAGGUUUCAUCAUAAUCCACGCCGUAUGCUUGGGUGAAACCUCUAGCCACCAGCCUAGCUUUAUAUCUUUCAAUCGAUCCGUCUGCUCUAUAUUUAAUGGUGAAGAUCCACUUACAAUCAACUGUGUUCUUUCCAUUCGGAAGGGAGACAAUGUCCCACGUAUUAUUUUUCUCCAAAGCUCGUAACUCCUCCAUGACAGCACUUCUCCAUUUUGGAUGUUUCAUAGCUUCUUCAAUAUUCUUAGGUAUUUGUUCCUCGUCAAGAGCAGAUAUAAAUGCUCUGUGAGAAUUGCUAAGACCAUCAUAGCUGAUUUGUCGAGCAAUCGGAUAUUUUGUGCAAUUUCUUAUACCUUUCCUUAGAGCAAUAGGAACCUCUAGAUCACUCAAAUCAUCACCCUCUUCUUCAACAUCUUCAACUAUCACUUCUCGAUCAGCAUUCGUAACUCCCCCUCCACUAUUUUCUGUCUCAAGAGUAUCAUCUUCAAUCACAAUAUUCUUUCUUCUUUGAUAAACAAGAAGAGGUUUUUCUAAUGAUUCCGCUGAUGACAUUUGAGACUCCCCCUGACUUACAACAUCAGUUGGGAGCUCCCUCUGACUCACAACUUCGGAUGGAGUGUCCUCUUCCUCUAAACAAAUCGUAUCCACGAGGGUAUGACUGUCAUCAUUAUUUGUUUGCUCCCCCUGAAUCACAGUAGUAGGAAAGUAGGUCUGUGAUUCAAAAAAGGUAGCAUCCCGAGUGGUGUAAACUCGUUUGGUCGGAGGAUGGUAGCACCUAUAGCCCUUCUGGGUUAAAGAGUAGCCUAUAAACAUUGUUGAAGUAAUCGUGGGCAUUGUCAGUUUUCAGAACCUUGAUGUGAGUCUGAAAUUGGGUAGCUACCAUUUUGUGAAAUAGCUGAAAAAUCUGGACCGUUUCGGACUUUUCUUUCAUUAAGAAAGUCCACGUCAUCCUUGUGUGAUCAUCAAUAAAUGUUAUGAACCAACGAGCCCCAUUGAUGUUCUUGACUUUCAUAGGUCCCCAGAUAUCGCUAUGAACUACACUAAGAGGUGUGGUAGGUCGAUAGCCGAUUCUAGGAUAGGAAGAACGCGUAUGCUUCGCAAGUUGACACACAUCACAUCUCAAAUCCUUUGAACCUUUAUUCUGAAAUAGUGCAGGUAGCAACUUUUCAAGAUAAGUAAAACUGGGAUGACCAAGACGGAAGUGCCAUAACAUGGCUUCAUUCUCAAUGUGUUCAAUACUAGAAACAACAUUAGCACUAAUACUACUAUGGGCUUUACUGGAACUAGCCUCAUCCUGAGUUCCCUUCAACAAGUAGAGACCAUUACGCAUUUCACCACUUCCAAGCAUUUUCCCAGUCUUCACCUCCUGUAACACACAAUCGGGAGAGCGAAACUUAGCUUCACACUGAAGAUCAUGUGUUACUUGAUGAAUAGAGAGAAGAUUGCAGUCAAGUUUAGGCACAUAAAGUACUGGACAUAGAGUAAGAUCCUUAGUAACCCUAACAAUGCCUAUUCCUUCCACCGGUGCUAUUGAUCCAUCGGCAAUCCGGACACCUGAGGUUCUAGGGUAAGGUUUUAAGUGUUCUAUCAACUCCUUACAACCAGUCAUAUUGUCUGUAGCUCCGGAAUCAAGGAUCCAAAUAUUCUGAGAAUUUUGACUAGAAGUGUAAGCAGCCGAAGUACCUUUUUUGUCGAACAUACUAGACAUGUAAGAUUUCUUGGGGUCGGCUUUCUCAGUAUUCAUGAUUUGUGCAAACAUUUUCUUCAGAGUCUCCAACUGACCAGCUGAAAACUGUGUCGUAUCAUCAGUUUUGGUGGCAGCUGCGUUCGCACGAGACUUCUGCUUAUUCAAGUUCAGUCUGGGUCUCCAUCCUUGUGGUCCACCAACUAUUUCCCAGCACUCCUCUUUCGUAUGAAAGGGUCGUUGACAGAGAUCACACCAUUUUGAAGAGGCAGCAGAAGUAGGAUUCUGUUUCCCUUUGGCAUGGUUGUUCUUAACAAAGAGAGCUGUGGUUGAGGUCUCAGUUUUCAGGGCUGAACUGCUGGGUUCAGAGGUUGUCUUCGUCUCUGUAACCAUCAGAUGACGCCGACCUUCUUCUCUCAAAACCUCAGCAAACGCCUCCUUCAGACUUGGAAAGGGUUUCGUUCCCAUAACCCUGCUUUUCACAGCAUCUAGGUCUUGAUUUAGUCCAAGAAGCAGUUGAACUGUCCUCUUCUUGUCCAUGAAUGUCCGGAAUGUUUUUGCAUCAUUCGGAGUAUCCCACUUCUGAGCUUCAUACAAAUCAAGUUGAAGCCAGGUUCGGACCAGCCGAUUGUAGUACUCCGUUGCACUCAAGUUACCUUGCUUGAAAUUGUAGAGUUUGGACUCAAUUUCGAACAAAGCAGAUGAGUUGUCUUGCGUGGAGUAGGUUUCUUUCACAUCAUCCCAAAGCUCCUUUGCAGAUUGAUGUAGAAGAUAGUUGUCGCCGAUAUCUGGUUCCAUCGUGGAGAUGAGCCAGAACCGAACUUGAUUGUCAUCAUUGUCCCACUUGGUGAAGGCAGCUGAGUCGGAUUCUUCUGGUUUGCUUGCAAUACCAGUAAGAUAUUCCCCUUUCUGUUUCCCAGUGAUGAACAUCCGGACUGACUGAGACCAUUGGAGGUAGUUGUUACCAUUGAAUUUCCUAAUGGAAGCUCCUCCAGAGCCUGGUUCAGAUCCGAAAUUGUUGUUGUUGUUGUUGGCUGCCAUCUCAGUUUCGGAGAUGACAGAAGAAGGAUGAAUGGUGGAAGAAGACGAGUGUUUUGGAAAGGAAGAAGGUGAAACAAUCUUGUUGUCCGUGGUCAUGAUGAACCAACAGUGAGAUUAACACCGACGGCAGCGGAAGAUAUAGCCGGCGGCUCUGAUACCAUAUUGAAUUUAUGAGAGGAAGCUUUUCAAUAGUAUUAUGAUAUAUGGGAUUACAUAAGGGGUACAUGGGUUUAUAUAGAGUUAGGAUAGGAGAAUCCUUCCUCAACUAGGAAAACUCUUAUUACUAUUCCUAUACUAAUAAGGAAAAAUAUUGAAACUUAUUUCUAUACUAAUAAGGAAAAUAUAAUAUUUUUCAACAGGUUACAUAGCCACUUACCAUCAUCCCUAACCAGGAAGCAAUCAUAUACUCUGCAAAAACGGGAGUGACUGAAAGUAAAUAAUUCAACAUGUUAAAAGGGACCAAUGGAGCGAGUCGAAGCAACAGAACAAUCUGCAGUGAAAAAUACAAUUCCUUGAGGCAUUAGAUAAUACAUGCUUGAAUGAUGAAAUAAUCUUUAGAGAUGCUGUAAUAUUCGAGUGAUGACAGAUGCAUCAUUAUCAAAACGAACCUUGAAACCAGAUCUU